GUUAAAGUUUUUGGUCAAGGUAGUUUUUGAUAAAGUAGAAGUCCAAUCAACUUGAAACUUAGUAUACAUGUUCCCUUUGAUAAGAUCAUUCUAAUUUUAAUGCCAAAUUAGAGAAUUUAUUCCAAUUUCACAGUCCUUUAAACAUAGAAAAUGAUAGUGUGAGUGGGGCAUCCGUGUACUGUGGACACAUUCUUGUUUUUAAAGAAAUUUU
Molecule: long non-coding RNA, 211 nt
Filed under: Mytilus galloprovincialis (Mediterranean mussel)
Lineage: Eukaryota; Metazoa; Mollusca; Bivalvia; Mytilida; Mytilidae
Source: RNAcentral